UACAGAGGAUGCGAGCGUUAUCCGGAUUUAUUGGGUUUAAAGGGUGCGUAGGCGGUCCGUUAAGUCAGCGGUAAAAUUGCGGGGCUCAACCCCGUCGAGCCGUUGAAACUGGCAGACUUGAGUUGGCGAGAAGUACGCGGAAUGCGCGGUGUAGCGGUGAAAUGCGUAGAUAUCGCGCAGAACUCCGAUUGCGAAGGCAGCGUACCGGCGCCAGACUGACGCUGAGGCACGAAAGCGUGGGGAUCGAACAGG
This 252-nucleotide ribosomal RNA is filed under the name uncultured bacterium. Its description in RNAcentral is "partial 16S ribosomal RNA". It matches the Rfam family "Bacterial small subunit ribosomal RNA", at positions 524 to 776 of the family's 1533-position model. The record is from RNAcentral.